This 156-nucleotide unclassified non-coding RNA is filed under the name Limimaricola pyoseonensis. RNAcentral's name for it is "6S / SsrS RNA". It matches the Rfam family "6S / SsrS RNA". From Rfam's summary of the family: E. coli 6S RNA was the first non coding RNA to be sequenced, but its function was unknown until recently. It consists of 184 nucleotides that fold into an extended hairpin structure with a large single-stranded internal bulge. The 6S RNA specifically associates with RNA polymerase holoenzyme containing the sigma70 specificity factor. The record is from RNAcentral. Lineage: Bacteria; Pseudomonadati; Pseudomonadota; Alphaproteobacteria; Rhodobacterales; Paracoccaceae.
CGGUUACUGCUCUUCUCGUGCAACGGGUCAAUUCCGGUGGCCUUAAGCAAAUCCGAGGGAGCUGGCUCUGGUCGGGUCCUGGCCCGUCUACCUGGCGCCCACCUGUAUAUACAGGUCCUCGGGAAUUCUCACCCGCACGGUCGCUGCGGUUUCCGC